RNA transcript from Nycticebus coucang (slow loris), 2790 nucleotides. It is a transcript of the gene named ribosomal oxygenase 1, with no coding region annotated. The transcript has 6 exons. The record is from RefSeq and is a predicted model, not a curated record. NCBI's taxonomy places the organism in Eukaryota, Metazoa, Chordata, Mammalia, Primates, Lorisidae.
CCGGCCUGGCUGCGAGAGUGCACAGUCUGGCCAUGGACCGGCUGCAAACUGGUGUAGGGGUGUUGAGGCGCGGGCGGCCGAGGCGUCGGCGCCAGCCCCAGCCACGUGGCGGGUCGAUCCUGGCCCUGCCCUUGAGACCCAGGAAGAUACGGAGGCAGCUGAGAAGAAGUGCAGCGUCCCGCAUGGCAGCGCUGAGAGUCCAGACGCUGCCAAGCGAGGACUUGGAGGACUCGAGAGUGGAGUCCACCGCCAACGAUCUGGAGGACGCACUGCCUAGCGGGACAGCAGUGGCAGCCAUCCCGGACGCAGCCCGGCGAGAGCCCUACGGCCAUCUGGGGCCUGCAGAGCUGCUGGAAGCCUCGCCCGCCGCGCACUCCCUGCAGACCCAGCCAGCGCGUCUUGUUGAAGCGCAGACCCCACCAGUGCGCUUCCUGCCAGCUUUGGCGGCUGCGCCGGCCCGCAUGGUGGAGAACUCUGCCCUGCUGUGCACAGCCAAGCACUUGGGGGCCGCCCCACAUUCCGGGGCCCCUGCGACGUUGUCAGGACCGGAGGUGGAUAGCACCGGUGGAGAGCUGUCCUGGGACUCCCCGCUGCAGCGCGUCUUGAUGGAGCUGAACCGCAUCCCCAGCAGCCGGCGGCGAGCAGCACACCUCUUUGAGUGGCUCAUCGCGCCAAUGCCGCCAGAUCAUUUCUACCGGCGCUUGUGGGAGCGGGAGGCGGUGCUAGUGCGGCGGCAGGACCGCACUUACUACGAGGGCCUUUUCUCUACUGCCGAUAUGGACUCAAUACUGCGUAACGAGGAGGUGCAGUUCGGGCAGCACUUGGACGCCGCGCGCUACAUCAAUGGGAGGCGCGAGACCCUGAACCCGCCCGGCCGCGCCUUGCCAGCCGCCGCGUGGUCCCUGUACCAGGCCGGCUGCUCUCUGCGCCUCCUGUGUCCGCAGGCUUUCUCGACCACUGUGUGGCAGUUUUUGGCCGUACUCCAAGAGCAGUUUGGAAGCAUGGCAGGCUCCAACGUUUACCUCACGCCCCCCAAUUCGCAGGGCUUUGCCCCUCACUACGACGACAUCGAAGCUUUCGUGCUGCAGCUGGAAGGUAGGAAACUCUGGCGUGUCUACCGACCCCGGGUCUCAGCUGAGGAACUGGCCCUGACAUCUAGCCCUAACUUCAGUCAGGAUGACCUCGGUGAGCCGGUGCUGCAGACCGUCCUGGAACCUGGAGAUUUGCUUUAUUUUCCUCGGGGCUUCAUUCACCAAGCUGAAUGCCAGGAUGGAGUCCACUCCCUGCACCUGACCUUGUCCACGUACCAGCGCAAUACCUGGGGAGACUUUCUAGAGGCUGUACUGCCUCUGGCUGUGCAGGCUGCAAUGGAAGAAAACGUGGAGUUUCGGAGGGGUCUUCCCCGAGACUUUAUGGAUUACAUGGGGGCCCAGCAUUCUGAUUCUAAGGAUCCACGAAGAACUGCUUUCAUGGAGAAGGUCCGGGUCUUGGUUGCCAGGCUGGGACACUUUGCUCCUGUUGAUGCUGUGGCUGACCAGCGAGCUAAAGACUUCAUCCAUGAUUCUCUGCCCCCUGUUUUGACUGAUAGGGAGAGGGCACUAAGUGUUCACGGGCUCCCGAUUCGCUGGGAGGCUGGACAACCUGUAAAUGUGGGGGCCCAGUUGACAACAGAAACAGAAGUCCACAUGCUUCAGGAUGGGAUAGCUCGUCUGUUGGAAGAAACUUUCUCAAAUCUGGUCUCAUGGUUGGUGGAAAAGUGCCUGGUGUACCAGAAAGAGCACUGGACUUGGAACCAGAAGACCUGGGUUUGGGGUGGUAUCUGGUAGGCAGCUGACUGAGUGACCUGAAGCUACUGCUACGCUUGGGCACACAGAUUUUGGUCUCCUAAGUUUUCCAGGAUGGUCUUGAAUUUCUGGCCUCAAACAAUCCUCCUGCCUCAGCCUUCUGUUUCAGGAGCUCCAGGUCACUGUCAGAGAGGUGGUCAAACCUGCACUGGCUGUAGGGAACACUGGACAGCCCUCGCUGCCACACCACCUCCUCAGAGAAGGUAAAGGGUCCAGGAGUCGGGCUGCUUGGAAUUUCUGAAGGGGUGGACUCUGCCUUUCCAUGGCCUCUUCCCUGAAGGGCAUCACGGCUGCUGUCAUAAUCAAUGGCUCUGUGGCCAAUGUUGGGGGAACCUUACACUACAAGGGUGAGACCCUGCCCCCUAUUGGCAUCAACAAAAAUCAAAUCAAGGUGACCAAAGAUGGCUUUGCAGACAUUGUGGAUGCCCUGAAUAGCCCUCUGGAAGGACCUGACCAGAAGAGCUUCAUUCCUGUGGAAAGGGCUGAGAACACCUUCCUGUUCCUUGUAGGUCAGGAUGACCACAACUGGAAGAGUGAGUUCUAUGCUCAUGAGGCCUCCAAACGCUUACAGGCCCACGGGAGGAAAAAGCCCCAGAUCGUCUGUUACCCAGGGGCAGGGCACUAUAUUGAGCCUCCUUACUUCCCCUUAUGCUGGGCUUCCCUGCAUACUUUGGUGGGCAGUCCUGUCAUUUGGGGAGGGGAGCCCAGGGCUCAUGCCAUGGCCCAGGUGGAUGCCUGGGAGCAGCUCCAGACUUUCUUCCACAAACACUUGGGUGGCAAAGAGGGGACAAUUCCAGCAAAACAUGUUUGAUUGCGUGGCAUCUCUGCUGCUAAUCUUUCCUGGGAACAGCUGCCACAAUUGGCGUCUAUAUGUGUAUUCUUUUUUCUUUCUAAUAACUACUUAGAACCAUUUUCCUCCUCACUGUUAAAAUGAAUUUACCAGUAA